RNAcentral lists this transfer RNA (76 nucleotides) under bacterium. Its description in RNAcentral is "tRNA-Thr". It matches the Rfam family "tRNA". From Rfam's summary of the family: Transfer RNA (tRNA) molecules are approximately 80 nucleotides in length. Their secondary structure includes four short double-helical elements and three loops (D, anti-codon, and T loops). Further hydrogen bonds mediate the characteristic L-shaped molecular structure. tRNAs have two regions of fundamental functional importance: the anti-codon, which is responsible for specific mRNA codon recognition, and the 3' end, to which the tRNAs corresponding amino acid is attached (by aminoacyl-tRNA synthetases). tRNAs cope with the degeneracy of the genetic code in two manners: having more than one tRNA (with a specific anti-codon) for a particular amino acid; and 'wobble' base-pairing, i.e. permitting non-standard base-pairing at the 3rd anti-codon position. RNAcentral also lists the same sequence under 1 other name. The record is from RNAcentral.
GCCGUCGUAGCUCAGUUGGUAGAGCGUCACAUUGGUAAUGUGAAGGUCUCGAGUUCAAUCCUCGACGUCGGCUCCA